This 277-nucleotide ribosomal RNA is filed under the name uncultured prokaryote. RNAcentral's name for it is "partial 16S ribosomal RNA". It matches the Rfam family "Bacterial small subunit ribosomal RNA", at positions 524 to 800 of the family's 1533-position model. The record is from RNAcentral.
CACGGGGGUUGCGAGCGUUGUCCGGAAUUACUAGGCGUAAAGGGCAGGCAGGCGGAUCCAUAAGUUUAUCGUUUAAGGCGUCGGCUUAACCGGCGUAGGGCGGUAGAUACUGUGGAUCUGGAAUGCUGUUGGGGAAGACAGAAUUCCUGGUGUAGCGGUGGAAUGCGCAGAGAUCAGGAGGAAUACCGAAGGCGAAGGCAGUCUUCCAAGCCGUUAUUGACGCUCAACUGCGAAGGUGUGGGUAUCAAACAGGAUUAGAUACCCGCGUAGUCCCUGA